AUUUUAUUAAUUAAAUAAUUAUUUUUGAAAAAUUACCUGCUGAACCGGUCAAUUUUUUGAUUUGGUGGUUUUUUAUGAUACAAAUGUCACUUUGAAGGUUAAAAGUGUUAGUGAAAAAACUUGAAGGUUUAAAGUGCUAGUAAGUAACACUUUUAGGGUUUUUUAUGCGACUUUCUCAAAAAAAAGUGAAAGAAUAAACGAGACGACAUGCCGUUUUGUUUUUACGAUACUUCCAUGCUUGUCGUAUGUAUGCACACUGCUCGGCAGCCGGUGCUUUAUAAAAAAAUAACGAAACGGCGAGCUGUUUUAAUUUCGGUUAAUAUCGUUACUUAACUGAAACACCCUUCGUUGCCGUCAACGCUUGCUCCUCCGGCUCGUCGAGAAGAUGAUGCGCUCCUCUGGACGACAGCGAAGAAGACGAAUCAUGGAAACAGUGGGGGGAGUAAAGCAGCGACGCCGGAGUUCGAUCCGCCUCCGGAUUUCUCAAACAUGUGAUUCGAUCAGAUCCAAGAGGAGAUGGCGAAACGGACUUUCGCACCGGUCGUCGGAUUCUUCAAGCUCCGGUUAGGCGUUCACCGUACUAAGGUGGAUUAGGAGUGAGGUUUCAUGGCUGUGGAUCGGAGCACGGUGAUGUUCAAUAUGCAGCAGAACGGGAAGGAAGUUAUUGAGGUAAGGGAGUUUGUGCUGAGACAAUAAGAGGCUUAUGAGGUUAGGAUAGGGAAACAAGAGUUUCGAAGACCUGGAGAUCCUCCUCUUGAUGAUGUCGUUGAUAUACUUCAAGCAAAGCAAAGCAAGGACGAUGAAGAUGGUAAUGGUAAUAGCAAGAAUAAUGUUUGUUACUAAGGAUGACUUAUAGGUCUCGUAUACACUUUUGAAGCUUUUAAAAUUUGGUAACCAAGUUUCUGCAUUAGAGAGACUGAAAGCUCAGCUCAUUAGCUGAAUCUUAGCUACAAUUUCUCUGUCUUGUUGGUGGUUUCGUACAAUACAAUAGAAAGUAUGCUCACUAUCA
Raphanus sativus (radish) is the source of this 1009-nucleotide long non-coding RNA. RefSeq lists it as uncharacterized. The record is from RefSeq and is a predicted model, not a curated record. NCBI's taxonomy places the organism in Eukaryota, Viridiplantae, Streptophyta, Magnoliopsida, Brassicales, Brassicaceae. The transcript is spliced from 3 exons.